This 273-nucleotide ribosomal RNA is filed under the name uncultured bacterium. RNAcentral's name for it is "partial 16S ribosomal RNA". It matches the Rfam family "Bacterial small subunit ribosomal RNA", at positions 524 to 796 of the family's 1533-position model. The record is from RNAcentral.
UACAGGGGGCGCAAGCGUUGCUCGGAAUCACUGGGCGUAAAGCGAACGCAGGCGGACCGUUAAGUCGAAUGUGAAAGCCCGGGGCUCAACCCCGGAAGUGCAUUCGAAACUGGCGGUCUUGAGUACGGGAGAGGUGGGUGGAAUUCCUGGUGUAGAGGUGAAAUUCGUAGAUAUCAGGAGGAACACCGGUGGCGAAAGCGGCCCACUGGCCCGAUACUGACGCUCAUGUUCGAAAGCGUGGGGAGCAAACAGGAUUAGAAACCCCUGUAGUCC